GCCGGAGAGACAAGUCAGAUGUGAAAUCCGCAGGCUCAACCUGCGAACUGCAUUUGAAACUGUUUCCCUUGAGUAUCGGAGAGGUCAUCGGAAUUCCUAGUGUAGCGGUGAAAUGCGUAGAUAUUAGGAAGAACACCAGUGGCGAAGGCGGAUGACUGGACGACAACUGACGGUGAGGCGCGAAAGCGUGGGAGCAAACAGG
This 202-nucleotide ribosomal RNA is filed under the name uncultured bacterium. RNAcentral's name for it is "partial 16S ribosomal RNA". It matches the Rfam family "Bacterial small subunit ribosomal RNA", at positions 574 to 776 of the family's 1533-position model. The record is from RNAcentral.